Molecule: long non-coding RNA, 210 nt
Organism: Physella acuta
Lineage: Eukaryota; Metazoa; Mollusca; Gastropoda; Physidae
Source: RefSeq, a predicted model, not a curated record
CACAGUGCACUUUAAAAAGCGAUUCAACAGACGUACCAGUUACUUUAACAAAUCAGGAGGCUUGCUAUACCAAUUGCCUUGACGAUCCCGAGUGUAUCGGCUAUCUUUAUAUCCCCGGAGUAUUUUGCUUGCUUUCCUACCCGUCUGGAUCAAUUGUUGACAUAAACAAUUUUCCGGUGGAUUCAUUUGUCUAUCUUGAUUGUGAUAGAU